UUACGGUCAAAUCACGCUGAAACACCUCAUUCUCGUUCGAUCACCGAAGUUAAGCAUCGUAGAGCCAGGUCAGUACUUAGAUGGGGGACCGCUUGGGAACACCUGGUACUGUAAG
Molecule: non-coding RNA, 115 nt
Organism: Acanthosepion pharaonis
Lineage: Eukaryota; Metazoa; Mollusca; Cephalopoda; Sepiida; Sepiidae
Source: the annotation of a GenBank genome assembly